Molecule: ribosomal RNA, 2654 nt
Filed under: Klebsiella pneumoniae
Lineage: Bacteria; Pseudomonadati; Pseudomonadota; Gammaproteobacteria; Enterobacterales; Enterobacteriaceae
Description: partial 23S ribosomal RNA
Rfam family: Bacterial large subunit ribosomal RNA
Source: RNAcentral
UGUGAACUCGAAGAGUAGGGCGGGACACGUGGUAUCCUGUCUGAAUAUGGGGGGACCAUCCUCCAAGGCUAAAUACUCCUGACUGACCGAUAGUGAACCAGUACCGUGAGGGAAAGGCGAAAAGAACCCCGGCGAGGGGAGUGAAAAAGAACCUGAAACCGUGUACGUACAAGCAGUGGGAGCACCUUCGGGUGUGACUGCGUACCUUUUGUAUAAUGGGUCAGCGACUUAUAUUCUGUAGCAAGGUUAACCGUAUAGGGGAGCCGCAGGGAAACCGAGUCUUAACUGGGCGUUAAGUUGCAGGGUAUAGACCCGAAACCCGGUGAUCUAGCCAUGGGCAGGUUGAAGGUUGGGUAACACUAACUGGAGGACCGAACCGACUAAUGUUGAAAAAUUAGCGGAUGACUUGUGGCUGGGGGUGAAAGGCCAAUCAAACCGGGAGAUAGCUGGUUCUCCCCGAAAGCUAUUUAGGUAGCGCCUCGUGAAUUCAUCUUCGGGGGUAGAGCACUGUUUCGGCUAGGGGGUCAUCCCGACUUACCAACCCGAUGCAAACUACGAAUACCGAAGAAUGUUAUCACGGGAGACACACGGCGGGUGCUAACGUCCGUCGUGAAGAGGGAAACAACCCAGACCGCCAGCUAAGGUCCCAAAGUCAUGGUUAAGUGGGAAACGAUGUGGGAAGGCACAGACAGCCAGGAUGUUGGCUUAGAAGCAGCCAUCAUUUAAAGAAAGCGUAAUAGCUCACUGGUCGAGUCGGCCUGCGCGGAAGAUGUAACGGGGCUAAACCAUGCACCGAAGCUGCGGCAGCGACACUAUGUGUUGUUGGGUAGGGGAGCGUUCUGUAAGCCUGCGAAGGUGACCUGUGAGGGUUGCUGGAGGUAUCAGAAGUGCGAAUGCUGACAUAAGUAACGAUAAAGCGGGUGAAAAGCCCGCUCGCCGGAAGACCAAGGGUUCCUGUCCAACGUUAAUCGGGGCAGGGUGAGUCGACCCCUAAGGCGAGGCCGAAAGGCGUAGUCGAUGGGAAACAGGUUAAUAUUCCUGUACUUGGUGUUACUGCGAAGGGGGGACGGAGAAGGCUAUGUUAGCCGGGCGACGGUUGUCCCGGUUUAAGCAUGUAGGCUGGUUGANNNNNNNNNNNNNNNNNNNNNNNNNNNNNNNNNNNNNNNNNNNNNNNNNNNNNNNNNNNNNNNNNNNNNNNNNNNNNNNNNNNNNNNNNNNNNNNNNCCAGGCAAAUCCGGAUAAUCAAGGCUGAGGUGUGAUGACGAGGCACUACGGUGCUGAAGUAACAAAUGCCCUGCUUCCAGGAAAAGCCUCUAAGCAUCAGGUAACAUCAAAUCGUACCCCAAACCGACACAGGUGGUCAGGUAGAGAAUACCAAGGCGCUUGAGAGAACUCGGGUGAAGGAACUAGGCAAAAUGGUGCCGUAACUUCGGGAGAAGGCACGCUGGUGUGUAGGUGAAGUCCCUGCGGAUGGAGCUGAGACCAGUCGAAGAUACCAGCUGGCUGCAACUGUUUAUUAAAAACACAGCACUGUGCAAACACGAAAGUGGACGUAUACGGUGUGACGCCUGCCCGGUGCCGGAAGGUUAAUUGAUGGGGUUAUCCGUAAGGAGAAGCUCUUGAUCGAAGCCCCGGUAAACGGCGGCCGUAACUAUAACGGUCCUAAGGUAGCGAAAUUCCUUGUCGGGUAAGUUCCGACCUGCACGAAUGGCGUAAUGAUGGCCAGGCUGUCUCCACCCGAGACUCAGUGAAAUUGAACUCGCUGUGAAGAUGCAGUGUACCCGCGGCAAGACGGAAAGACCCCGUGAACCUUUACUAUAGCUUGACACUGAACAUUGAGCCUUGAUGUGUAGGAUAGGUGGGAGGCUUUGAAGCGUGGACGCCAGUCUGCGUGGAGCCAACCUUGAAAUACCACCCUUUAAUGUUUGAUGUUCUAACGUUGGCCCCUGACCGGGGUUGCGGACAGUGUCUGGUGGGUAGUUUGACUGGGGCGGUCUCCUCCCAAAGCGUAACGGAGGAGCACGAAGGUUAGCUAAUCCUGGUCGGACAUCAGGAGGUUAGUGCAAUGGCAUAAGCUAGCUUGACUGCGAGCGUGACGGCGCGAGCAGGUGCGAAAGCAGGUCAUAGUGAUCCGGUGGUUCUGAAUGGAAGGGCCAUCGCUCAACGGAUAAAAGGUACUCCGGGGAUAACAGGCUGAUACCGCCCAAGAGUUCAUAUCGACGGCGGUGUUUGGCACCUCGAUGUCGGCUCAUCACAUCCUGGGGCUGAAGUAGGUCCCAAGGGUAUGGCUGUUCGCCAUUUAAAGUGGUACGCGAGCUGGGUUUAGAACGUCGUGAGACAGUUCGGUCCCUAUCUGCCGUGGGCGCUGGAGAAUUGAGGGGGGCUGCUCCUAGUACGAGAGGACCGGAGUGGACGCAUCACUGGUGUUCGGGUUGUCAUGCCAAUGGCACUGCCCGGUAGCUAAAUGCGGAAGAGAUAAGUGCUGAAAGCAUCUAAGCACGAAACUUGCCCCGAGAUGAGUUCUCCCUGAGACUUUAAGUCUCCUGAAGGAACGUUAAAGACGAUGACGUUGAUAGGCCGGGUGUGUAAGCGCAGCGAUGCGUUGAGCUAACCGGUACUAAUGAACCGUGAGGCUUAACCUUACAACGCCGAAG